RNAcentral lists this ribosomal RNA (525 nucleotides) under Clostridioides difficile. RNAcentral's name for it is "bacterial SSU rRNA". It matches the Rfam family "Bacterial small subunit ribosomal RNA", at positions 246 to 789 of the family's 1533-position model. The record is from RNAcentral. Lineage: Bacteria; Bacillati; Bacillota; Clostridia; Peptostreptococcales; Peptostreptococcaceae.
UAGUUGGUAAGGUAACGGCUUACCAAGGCGACGAUCAGUAGCCGACCUGAGAGGGUGAUCGGCCACAUUGGAACUGAGACACGGUCCAAACUCCUACGGGAGGCAGCAGUGGGGAAUAUUGCACCAUGGGCGAAAGCCUGAUGCAGCAACGCCGCGUGAGUGAUGAAGGCCUUCGGGUCGUAAAACUCUGUCCUCAAGGAAGAUAAUGACGGUACUUGAGGAGGAAGCCCCGGCUAACUACGUGCCAGCAGCCGCGGUAAUACGUAGGGGGCUAGCGUUAUCCGGAUUUACUGGGCGUAAAGGGUGCGUAGGCGGUCUUUCAAGUCAGGAGUGAAAGGCUACGGCUCAACCGUAGUAAGCUCUUGAAACUGGGAGACUUGAGUGCAGGAGAGGAGAGUGGAAUUCCUAGUGUAGCGGUGAAAUGCGUAGAUAUUAGGAGGAACACCAGUUGCGAAGGCGGCUCUCUGGACUGUAACUGACGCUGAGGCACGAAAGCGUGGGGAGCAAACAGGAUUAGAUACCCUG